Molecule: long non-coding RNA, 1212 nt
Organism: Zingiber officinale
Lineage: Eukaryota; Viridiplantae; Streptophyta; Magnoliopsida; Zingiberales; Zingiberaceae
Exons: 4
Source: RefSeq, a predicted model, not a curated record
CCGGCGCCGCCGCCUCUCUUUCUCUGUAGCGCUUCCGAAGCAGCGGCGGAAACGACGUCAACGACAGCAGCAUCUGUAGCAUCAUGGAGAACCGGUGUGUAAGACCUUCAAGGACGUUUCGCCUCACAAGCUCAUCGAGGCCAAUGCGGCGCACCUCAAGAGAUCUAGCAAGGCAAAUUGCAGGAUUGAAUAGCUGCAAUCCUAUCUUGAAUCUGCACUUGGCAAACCGACACAACAAAAUCUGCUCAUUGAAUCUACUUUUUUCCUUCAUUGUUACAUAUAAAUCUUCAGUCUGAUUUGAACUUGUAUCACAGGCUUGGUUUGGAUUCACGAGGAGGAUGAUGUUCCAAUUGACAUUCCUGAAGGGAGGAUUUCCUGCAAAUUGAUAGCAGUUCAUGCUGCAUUACAGAAAACAAAAACCUAUGGAUGAACUGCAAAAACUUUUGAGAGCAAGGGACACAAGGAUACCAAAGGUGGAUCAAGUUAGUGUGAGGCAUGAUGCGUGGGAAAUACCAGAGGGGAUAUCUGUUAAGUCAAUUCUAGUGGUGAGUGACCAUCACACAAAAAUCCACAUCGAAGGCACUCGUUUCGUCGUCGACGAAUGUGGAGGGCUGGAGCAGUUUCCUGUGGCUGCUAUAAUAUGGUCCGCGAUACUGAUAACCUUGUCUCCGAAGCGAAGCAUACCUAGCCUCUUAAGAAAUAUCACAAGUUUGAAAAGUAGAACUGUCAAUUCUAUCGAACAACUACAAUUUUGAUAAGGAAAACUCAAAUAUAUUUAAGGGCGUAAAUGAAUUAAGUUGCUCAUGAGCUAUUCGAAUCUCAAUUCGAAAAAAAUUCGUUUGAGCUGAGGCAUAAACAAAUCAAGCUCAAACUUCACAAUAUUUGACUCGUUAGCUUGUGAACAUGUUCGUUAAGUUCAUUGAUCCUGUCCGAAAACUGAAUCAACGGACGCUGGACACGUGGCGCUCUCCGGUUGCCGACGCAGAUCUUCGACUGAUCGUGUGGAGCUCCGGCGAACCUGCAAAGAAGUCGGGCCGGGAAAGUGUUCCCGGCGACGACCCUCCGACGCUCAAGUCAGAAAAUGAACAGUAAGAAAGUGGCUCCAGGGAUCCUUGAUUGCAUACCUCCGGUGAAGUCUAAUGGCCUUUAUAUAGAGCCACGGGAACUUGGUGCACACAAACCGAGGUGUACAUGUGUCAUAUCCCAUACCGC